GGAAAAGUCAAUCCACCAUCACAAGAACAAGAAAAUCCCUAAAUGGCGACGGCGAUGUUCAGAUCUAGUAUUCGCUCCGCCCUCCGUGGCCGCGCUCCUCGUGUAACGCCGGCUCCCAAGAGGACUUUCUCUUCUCACGCCUCCGUCGAAGAAGAGGCCCGGGAAGCUUCUAAAUGGGAGAAAAUCACUUACGUUGCAAUAAUAUCUAGCACUAUUCUUGCAGUGGUUAAUCUCUCCAAGGGUCAUCCUCACAGUGAAGAGCCUCCUGCUUACCCAUACUUGCACAUUCGCAACAAGGAGUUUCCAUGGGGUCCAGAUGGGCUUUUUGAGUCCAAGCACCAUUGAAACUGCACGGUUUCUUUGUGAAGGCAUUUUAAAUAAUUCCUAUCCAUCUGCGAGUAUCAUUGUCACAUUUGUUGUGUUGAAAGCUGUUGAAUUUUUCAUGAAAUGUCUUCCGUUGGAUCUUUUCAGUAUAAGUAUUGCCUUCACUUUGGCGUAUCUGCAUUUGCAGUACACACUUGCUUCUUACAAAGUGUUCUUUAAAGAAAUAAGAAUUGAGAGAUGAUUAAGUCACAUACUAGUUAUUCUUUUCAUCAUAGUUACUCUUAAAUGUCCCAUUCUGAAU
RNAcentral lists this unclassified non-coding RNA (625 nucleotides) under Hevea brasiliensis (rubber tree). Lineage: Eukaryota; Viridiplantae; Streptophyta; Magnoliopsida; Malpighiales; Euphorbiaceae. The record is from RNAcentral.